RNAcentral lists this unclassified non-coding RNA (237 nucleotides) under Glomeraceae sp. RNAcentral's name for it is "partial contains 5.8S ribosomal RNA and internal transcribed spacer 2". The stretch from base 1 to 71 matches the Rfam family "5.8S ribosomal RNA", at positions 84 to 154 of the family's 154-position model. The record is from RNAcentral. Lineage: Eukaryota; Fungi; Glomeromycota; Glomeromycetes; Glomerales; Glomeraceae.
GUGAAUCAUCGAAUUUUUGAACGCAAAUUGCGCUUCCUGGCAUCCCGGGAAGUAUGCCUGUUUGAGGGUCAGUAUUAAUAAAAAAUCGGUUUAGUUACAAAUUGUGACGUUUCCGGAGUUUGGGCUAUCUUAACAUUUUUGGUUAAGAGGCUUAAAGUUGACCUUUUUUGCGCAUUUUUAAAGGACAUAAAUUUUUUUUAAUCGUCCUUUUCUAAUGCCAAAAUCCUUUUAAAAUCG